RNAcentral lists this ribosomal RNA (1355 nucleotides) under Rhipicephalus microplus (southern cattle tick). RNAcentral's name for it is "SSU rRNA". It matches the Rfam family "Eukaryotic small subunit ribosomal RNA", at positions 729 to 1823 of the family's 1831-position model. Lineage: Eukaryota; Metazoa; Arthropoda; Arachnida; Ixodida; Ixodidae. The record is from RNAcentral.
ACUCCGGCGAAGCCAAACGGGGCCGAUUCCGGCACGAUAUCGGCGUCUUUCUACGUGCUCGCCGGCGACCGUCGCACGAGUACGGCAAAGUGCAUGGCCCUAAAUGCUUCGGGUUGGACGGUACGGCAAUAGUUGAGACCGUCGGUCGGAUGUUCGUCGUCUUUCGCCGAGCCAGUGCUGGCAAUCCGGCGAAGCCGAACGGAGCCGAUUCGGGCACGAUAUCGGCGUCUUUCCACGUGCUCGCCGGGACCGAUGCACGAGUACGGUAAACCCGCGUCAGCCGGGGCGAGAUGGCCGGUGCUUUUACUUUGAAAAAAUUAGAGUGCUCAACGCAGGCGAGUCGCCUGAAUAAACUUGCAUGGAAUAAUAGAACAAGACCUCGUUUCUGUUCUGUUGGUUUUUGGAAUACGAGGUAAUGAUUAAGAGGGACGGACGGGGGCAUUCGUAUUGCGGCGCUAGAGGUGAAAUUCUUGGACCGUCGCAAGACGAACUACUGCGAAAGCAUUUGCCAAGAAUGUUUUCAUUGAUCAAGAACGAAAGUCAGAGGUUCGAAGGCGAUCAGAUACCGCCCUAGUUCUGACCAUAAACGAUGCCAACCAGAGAUCCGCCUGAGUUACUCAAAUGACUCGGCGGGCAGCUUCCGGGAAACCAAAGUAUUUGGGUUCCGGGGGAAGUAUGGUUGCAAAGCUGAAACUUAAAGGAAUUGACGGAAGGGCACCACCAGGAGUGGAGCCUGCGGCUUAAUUUGACUCAACACGGGAAAACUUACCCGGCCCGGACACUGGGAGGAUUGACAGAUUGAGAGAUCUUUCUUGAUUCGGUGGAUGGUGGUGCAUGGCCGUUCUUAGUUGGUGGAGCGAUUUGUCUGGUUAAUUCCGAUAACGAACGAGACUCUAGCCUAUUAAAUAGGUGCGGGGUUCCCAGCACCUUACAACCUUCUUAGAGGGACAAGCGGCUCCUAGCCGCACGAAACAGAGCAAUAACAGGUCUGUGAUGCCCUUAGAUGUCCGGGGCCGCACGCGCGAUACACUGAAGGAAGCAGCGUGUCUUUAUCCCUGUCUGAAAAGACUGGGUAACCCGUGGAACUUCUUUCGUGAUUGGGAUAGGGGCUUGCAAUUGUUCCCCUUGAACGAGGAAUUCCCAGUAAGCGCGAGUCAUAAGCUCGCGUUGAUUACGUCCCUGCCCUUUGUACACACCGCCCGUCGCUACUACCGAUUGAAUGAUUUAGUGAGGUCUUCGGACCGAUGUCCGGCGCGGCCUUUCGGUUGCGCCGGUCUGUUGGAAAGAUGACCAAACUUGAUCAUUUAGAGGAAGUAAAAGUCGUAACAAGGUUUCCGUAGGUGAACCUGCGGAAG